Molecule: ribosomal RNA, 465 nt
Filed under: uncultured bacterium
Lineage: Bacteria
Description: partial 16S ribosomal RNA
Rfam family: Bacterial small subunit ribosomal RNA
Source: RNAcentral
GACGAACGCUGGCGGCGUGCUUAACACAUGCAAGUCGAACGGAAAGGCCCUGCUUGCAGGGUACUCGAGUGGCGAACGGGUGAGUAACACGUGGGUGAUCUGCCCUGCACUUCGGGAUAAGCCUGGGAAACUGGGUCUAAUACCGGGUAGGAGCCAUUUUUAGUGUGAUGGUUGGAAAGUUUUUUCGGUGUAGGAUGAGCUCGCGGCCUAUCAGCUUGUUGGUGGGGUAAUGGCCUACCAAGGCGGCGACGGGUAGCCGGCCUGAGAGGGUGGACGGCCACAUUGGGACUGAGAUACGGCCCAGACUCCUACGGGAGGCAGCAGUGGGGAAUAUUGCACAAUGGGCGCAAGCCGGAUGCAGCGACGCCGCGGGGGGGAUGACGGCCUUCGGGUUGGAAACUCCUUUCGCUAGGGACGAAGCUUUUUGUGACGGUACCUAGAGAAGAAGCACCGGCUAACUACGUG